CGGGAGGCAGCAGUGGGGAAUUUUGGACAAUGGGGGCAACCCUGAUCCAGCCAUGCCGCGUGCGGGAAGAAGGCCCUCGGGUUGUAAACCGCUUUCAGAUGGAAAGAAAUGGUGUAGGUUAAUAACCUGCAUUGAUGACGGUACCAUCAGAAGAAGCACCGGCUAACUACGUGCCAGCAGCCGCGGUAAUACGUAGGGUGCGAGCGUUAAUCGGAAUUACUGGGCGUAAAGCGUGCGCAGGCGGUUCUUUAAGACAGGUGUGAAAUCCCCGGGCUUAACCUGGGAAUUGCGCUUGUGACUGGAGGGCUAGAGUGUGGCAGAGGGGAAUGGAAUUCCUGGUGUAGCAGUGAAAUGCGUAGAUAUCAGGAGGAACACCGAUGGCGAAGGCAGCCCCCUGGGAUAACACUGACGCUCAUGCACGAAAGCGUGGGGAGCAAACAGGAUUAGAUACCCUGGUAGUCCACGCCGUAAACGAUGUCUACUUGGAGGUUGUGGCCUUGAGCCGUGGCUUUCGGAGCUAACGCGUUAAGUAGACCGCCUGGGGAGUACGGUCGCAAGAUUAAAACUCAAAUGAAUUG
Molecule: ribosomal RNA, 578 nt
Filed under: uncultured bacterium
Lineage: Bacteria
Description: bacterial SSU rRNA
Rfam family: Bacterial small subunit ribosomal RNA
Source: RNAcentral